Molecule: ribosomal RNA, 482 nt
Filed under: uncultured bacterium
Lineage: Bacteria
Description: partial 16S ribosomal RNA
Rfam family: Bacterial small subunit ribosomal RNA
Source: RNAcentral
GAUGAACGCUAGCGGCAGGCCUAAUACAUGCAAGUCGGACGGGAUUCCGGUGCUUGCUUCUGAUGAGAGUGGCGCACGGGUGCGUAACACGUAUGUAUCCCACCUUUAUCAGGGGGAUAGCCUCUCGAAAGAGAGAUUAAGCUAGCAUAAAAUCACAGCACAGCCUUGUGUAAUGAUCAAAUAUUUAUAGGAUAAAGAUUGGCAUGCGGAACAUUAGCUAGAUGGCGGGGUAACGGCCUACCAUGGCGACGAUGUUUAGGGGAUCUGAGGGGAUGGCCCCCGACACGGGUACUGGGACACGGGCCAGACUCCUACGGGAGGCAGCAGUAAGGAAUAUAGGAGAAUGGAAGGAUGCCUGAUCCAGCCAAGCCGGAUGCAGGAAGACGGCCCUAGGGAUUGUAAACUGCUUUUAGACGGGAAUAAUCCCAGAUACGGGUAUCUGGCUGAAUGUACUGGAUAAAUAAGGAUCGGCUAACUCCGUG